GUGGGGAAUAUUGCACAAUGGGCGAAAGCCUGAUGCAGCGACGCCGCGUGAGCGAAGAAGUAUUUCGGUAUGUAAAGCUCUAUCAGCAGGGAAGAUAAUGACGGUACCUGACUAAGAAGCACCGGCUAAAUACGUGCCAGCAGCCGCGGUAAUACGUAUGGUGCAAGCGUUAUCCGGAUUUACUGGGUGUAAAGGGAGCGCAGGCGGUGCGGCAAGUCUGAUGUGAAAGCACGGGGCUCAACCCCGGUACUGCAUUGGAAACUGUCGUACUAGAGUGUCGGAGGGGUAAGCGGAAUUCCUAGUGUAGCGGUGAAAUGCGUAGAUAUUAGGAGGAACACCAGUGGCGAAGGCGGCUUACUGGACGAUAACUGACGCUGAGGCUCGAAAGCGUGGGGAGCAAACAGGAUUAGAUACCCGAGUAGUCC
This 425-nucleotide ribosomal RNA is filed under the name uncultured bacterium. RNAcentral describes it as "partial 16S ribosomal RNA". It matches the Rfam family "Bacterial small subunit ribosomal RNA", at positions 354 to 796 of the family's 1533-position model. The record is from RNAcentral.